This 178-nucleotide non-coding RNA is filed under the name Perkinsus marinus ATCC 50983. RNAcentral describes it as "Eukaryotic small subunit ribosomal RNA". It matches the Rfam family "Eukaryotic small subunit ribosomal RNA", at positions 1 to 180 of the family's 1831-position model. The record is from Rfam by way of RNAcentral. Lineage: Eukaryota; Perkinsozoa; Perkinsida; Perkinsidae.
CACCUGGUUGAUCCUGCCAGUAGUCAUAUGCUUGUCUCAAAGAUUAAGCCAUGCAUGUCUAAGUAUAAGCUUUAAACGGCGAAACUGCGAAUGGCUCAUUAAAACAGUUAUAGUUUAUUUGGUGAUCGAUUACUAUUUGGAUAACCGUAGUAAUUCUAGAGCUAAUACAUGCGUCAAG